CCAUCUUACAGUUACAGAAUCACCGAGACAGAGAAAAUACAUCAAUAAUUCUCCUCUACAUUUUUUUUUCCUUUCUUUUUCUUCUCUUUUUCUUUCCAUUAAUUUUGUUCCCCACUCCAUCAACUCCACUACCCUAUGCUCCCCACCAUCUCCACUACCUUUGCUCCCCAUCAACUCCAACACUUCACCCAUUCCUUCCAUUUCGCACCAGCAAUCACAAAGAGAAGGAAGACUUGGCUUAACUACUUUGCCAAGAUUUCAAGCUGCUCCAGUCCAGUAGUACCCCAACACUCGAAGCAAGAGUUUAUUGGGUGAAAAACCGUGCAUGAGGUAAGGCAGCGAAUCUGCCAUAAGCACACUGCUCCGGCAGUGUUUUGCAAGGCGAUUCCAGCCAUCCAAACGGUUCCCAAAAAUUCCCAAAUUAAUUGUGUAUCAUCUUUCAUACAUUUUCUAUAUUUUGGUAAAAUUUUAGAAUAUUUAGAGCUCGCAUGAUUUAUUUAUGAAUUUGUAAACAUCACUGCCCAUCUGGAAUACAUUUUUGGUAAACAAUCUUUGGGAGAUCAUAAGUAAAGUUUCACUCGGUGAAAACCUUUGAAACUUGAAUAUGUCACUCUAGACUCCCGUAUCUUUCUUUUGACAUCGGCCUCACCAUUUUUGAGUAAGGGAAACAACCGGUAUAAAUUCUUGAAAUCUAGUUCUUAUUCCAUGUACCAUCCAGUAGAUUUUACAAACCUACGACUUUGAGGUGGAAAAGGCCGACUUAAAUAUUUGAUUCUCAAGCCUAUCUUUCUACUGAAUAUUCACUGACAUGUUGGGAACUUACUUGUUCAGUUUUAGAAUUUUUGGUGAAGCUUAAAGUGGUUUUUCCGAUUUAUGUUCUGAAUCUGCCAAACUUGAACUCUUUUUGUGCACUGAACUUUAGAUAGUCAUAUCUUCUAAACCAUGAAGGUUCUUAGAGUAAAUCCAACUGGAGAGUGUUAUGAUCUCUCCCUAGUUUCCAGAUUGACCUUUGGGGUUCCCAGUGGAGUUUUGUAAAGGGAGAUAUGAAUUUUUAAAGAAAGCCCACUGACUUGGUUGUAAUCUGGAAAUAUGAAAUUUACAGAUUUUUGCUUGUUAAAUACCCAUCUUUGAGAGGGCAUAUCUUGCUCGUUUGAAUUGUUUUUCAUUCGAUUCAAAUUGGAGAAUGAUCCUUGAAAUGUCUAGUUUCCAGAAUGUCUUUUGGAGCCUCAUUUGGAGAUCCGAGGUAGAUUUGGUGUCUGUUGUAAAACAACCCCUUAAGAGCUCAAGUUGUUGAAUUAUUUUCUAUGUAUCAAAGUUUAUUUUAAAGGAUAUUUCGUGAAAGAUUUAGUAUAUGUGCGUAACAAGUUUGGGACUAUUUAUUUUAAAUGAGGUCCGUUCUUUAUUUAAAUUAGGAUGGACUUUUAAUGAAUAUUUUUGGGAUUAAACUAUUAUUUCUUGAUUUAUAUAAAUUAUUUUUAAGGACUUAUAAAUAUGAAUUUCGUAGGCCUACUGACCUACUGUGAUCGACGGUUUGUCGAUGUCUAACAGCUUUGAAAAUUUUAUAUCAAGUCCCUACAUGAGUCUUGAGUACUCUGGUAAAAUUUCAAGCCAUUCCAACUUCGUAUGAUACUUCUUUAAAAUGUAAAACCUAAACUGCACAUUACUACUGAGAAUUUCAGAGAACAGAGAAAAGAGUCAUUUAUUUCAGUAGCUUCCUGGGUGAUCUAGCUUUCCAAAUUUUUAUGUUAUUAACCUUAUUGUGUUAUUUAGAUAUCCACUAAAGUUGAGCCCAGUUUGACAACGUUUACUAUUUUUCAAAAAUACAAGUUUUCGAUUGUUCAAAACUGCCGAACAUGGUAGAUCGUGGUAAAAACGUCAUAUCUCUCAAACCACUUGGAGUUUUCGACUCUAUUUUUUUUAUAUGAAACUAGACUCGAAGAUCUUUCUUUCGGUAUGAGUCUCGAGUCCAGGAGAUGUCGGAGUCAGAACAGAUUAAAUUUUGAAGUUGAGUCAGUGUAAAAGCAGAGCAUGUUUUGAUGAUGUUUGAUUGUGAUUCUUAUGUGCCUUAUGUUGAGCCUUUUUUAUUUUAUUUUUUUUUUUUUUUAAUUUUAUAACAUUACUUGUUCUUAUUUAUUAAGCCCGAUUAAUUAUGAGAUUAUAAAGCGAAUAAGUUGAAGUAUUUAUUUUCUAUUGACUACGAGGAGCGGGGUUUAUUUAAUUAACGGAUUAGAACACCCCGAAGAGAACGGAUUAAUUUUUGUUAAUUAUCCGGCUUCAUGAGACGAGACUUAGCUUUUGUUUAAAUCCGAUAGCCUGGAUUAACAAUAGAAAUUCCCUGAUUAUUAUCUCAGAAUAAUAGUUCAUGCAUACGAGAUUCAUGCAUAGUUUAAUUACGCAUUCUCAUUUAAUUGAGAAUUUUCCCUCGAUUUAAAGUCUUACGUUAUUUUCUCGGAUUAAAGGUCGAGCGCAAGAAUAAGAGCUCGUCAAGGAGUCACUAAUCUGUAGCAAAGCUUUGCUAUCAGGUUGAGCAGCUGCCGAUGGUGAUGAAGUGACGAGCGGGACUCUUUUGUCUUAUUAUGUAUUAAUGAACUCUAGGGUUACAUGUCUUCAUACAUGUAAUCAGAACCUUAUUCCGCUGCGUACUCAGAAGUUUUAUGUUAUUUUGGAUAAGUCGGAGUUAUCCGAACUUGUUAGUUAUUUGAGUCUAUACGACAAAAACUCUGUUAUAUUAUAGAUAUCUAUGUUGUUAACAAUGAUGAAAUACGAUCCUUUCUUGUUUGAUUA
This is a long non-coding RNA of Salvia miltiorrhiza (redroot sage), 2784 nucleotides long. RefSeq lists it as uncharacterized. The transcript has 2 exons. NCBI's taxonomy places the organism in Eukaryota, Viridiplantae, Streptophyta, Magnoliopsida, Lamiales, Lamiaceae. The record is from RefSeq and is a predicted model, not a curated record.